Molecule: ribosomal RNA, 221 nt
Filed under: uncultured bacterium
Lineage: Bacteria
Description: partial 16S ribosomal RNA
Rfam family: Bacterial small subunit ribosomal RNA
Source: RNAcentral
UACGAAGGGGGCUAGCGUUGCUCGGAAUUACUGGGCGUAAAGCGCACGUAGGCGGAUUGUUAAGUCGGGGGUGAAAUCCUGGAGCUCAACUCCAGAACUGCCUUCGAUACUGGCGAUCUCGAGUUCGGGAGAGGUGAGUGGAACUGCGAGUGUAGAGGUGAAAUUCGUAGAUAUUCGCAAGAACACCCAGUGGCGAAGGGCGGCUCACUGGCCCCGAUACU